Molecule: ribosomal RNA, 403 nt
Filed under: uncultured bacterium
Lineage: Bacteria
Description: partial 16S ribosomal RNA
Rfam family: Bacterial small subunit ribosomal RNA
Source: RNAcentral
GACGAACGCUGGCGGCGUGCCUAAUACAUGCAAGUCGAACGCAGUGGGGACGGGUGAGUAACACGUGGGUAACCUCCCAUCAGAGGAGAUAACACUUGGAAACAGGUGCUAAACCGAUACUGAUUGAUGGACCCGCGGUGCAUUAGCUAGUUGGUGGGGUAACGGCUCACCAAGGCCACGAUGCAUACCGGACCUGAGAGGGUGAUUGGCCACACUGGGACUGAGAAACGGCCCAGACUCCGACGGUAGGCAGCAGUAGGGAAUCUUAGGCAAUGGGCGAAAGUCUGACCGAGCAACGCCGCGUGAAUGAAGAAGGUUUUCGGAUUGUAAAGCUCUGUUGGUUGAGAAGCGGUAUCUACCCAGAAAGCCACGGCUAACUACGUGCCAGCAGCCGCGGUAAUUC